This 254-nucleotide ribosomal RNA is filed under the name uncultured bacterium. RNAcentral describes it as "partial 16S ribosomal RNA". It matches the Rfam family "Bacterial small subunit ribosomal RNA", at positions 524 to 776 of the family's 1533-position model. The record is from RNAcentral.
UACGUAGGGUGCAAGCGUUGUCCGGAAUUAUUGGGCGUAAAGAGCUCGUAGGCGGUUUGUCGCGUCGGGAGUGAAAACCCAGGGCUUAACCCUGGGCUGGCUUCCGAUACGGGCAGACUAGAGGUAUGCAGGGGAGAACGAAGAUUCCUGGUGUAGCGGUGAAAUGCGCAGAUAUCAGGAGGAACACCUAUUGCGAAGGCAGCUCGCUGGGACGUAACUGACGCUGAGACGCGAAAGCGUGGGGAGCAAACAGG